GUAGGGAUUAUCGUCGCCCUAACCGGAUUAGGGUUUUGCUUGACGGUGGUGGAGCAUGCCAAGGAACAGCUCUUGUGGGCUCUCGUCUCGAGCAUCGUCGCCACGUACACGUACGUGGCCUUCUUCUCCAUUGGGAUCGCCCCGGUCACCUGGGUCUAUAGCUCCGAGAUAUUCCCGCUGAAGCUGAGGGCUCAGGGGAUGGGCAUCGGCGUUGCGGUGAACCGGCUCAUGAACGCGAUCAUUUCGAUGACUUUCCUCUCGAUGUCGGAGGCCAUGACCAUCGGCGGGACCUUCUUCUUGUUUGCUGGCAUGGCCGUGCUGGCUCUGGGAUUUUUCUAUUUCUUAUUGCCCGAGACGAAAGGCAAGCCCUUGGAAGAGAUUGAGAUGCUCUUCACCAGGAAGAACAGUAAGGCCAGGAACAGAGGGAUAGAGAUCCAGCCGAACAGUGUCUAGUGGAGUCUGUAGACGUUUGAAGUAGUGUGGUAUAUUUUGUAGCUUAUACGUUUUUAACAAGUUUCCAAAACUUGGGACAUAUAAAAGCGCUGAAGCUGUGAGUUAUAUCAGAGACCUCGUAAUCUACAUCGAAUUAUGGAGAAAAAAGUGGACAUCAAUCUCGAACUCUUCUGAUCAAUGUCACUGCUGCAGUUUCUCAUUCCCAUCUUUGAAGUGCUCCCGAUCUCCAAAGCUUCGACUCCCUAUCCCAUUUCAAGAACUUUUUACCAGUGUUAAUAUCUUGUACAUGCGAAUGUGGCGACUUAGCAUGAUGGUUUAAAGUCCAGCCAAAUUGAUCGUAAAACGAAGAUAUUAUUGUGCGGUUCGGGAUGUCAUUUUCUAGGGUCGUUCUGAUCUUUCCGCUAAAGCUUUCUGGACCCCACGCUGUUAUGUUGCGUUUUGGAAAUAUCUAGUCCAAAUCGAACCCCGUCGAACCCCUAUUAACGUUGUGGCGCAUCCUUGAUGACCCGAUCUGAUAUCAUAUGCUUGCCCAUCUCUGUACAAGCCACCAACACCUGUGACCCAAUAUGCGUGGCUUUGUUACCGUGAAAUGAGGCCAUCUUGACUCUUGUCUCCAGUUAUCUAGCCAUUCCUGGAGUACUUUUUGGCCCUUGAGGAUCGUAAGCUUUUGAAUUUGGAUCAUUUGAUCACGCAUGUUACCGAAUUUCGGAGGGCUUAUUACUUGGUUUCGGACCCUGUCGUGUGUUGGUUAUGUGUGAUCAUCAUGUGCAUGGGUUGUGACAAGUAAUCCAUGAAAAGAUGGUUCAGACAUCAAGCAGAGUAAAAAAAUGAAAGUUUUAAGGACUAAGACUCCAGUUUCUUAAAGACCAGAGACUCGCAAAUGCGAAAAUCAUUGAGCUCCAAAGGUCCAGAAUGCAAUUGGGUCGGUCUGUAUAUUUGAUAAAUUUUCGGAACAUAUAUUCUAUCCCUGUGCAUUGUUUUGGCCCGCAAAAGGAAAUGAAAAGGAGCAGAACCCCACUAAUCUUUCAAUUUAGAUGAUUGUCUAUACAAACCUUUUCAAUUGUAGCCGAUAUCUUAUUACGAGUAAAUUUCUUGGUUUAUCAACUUUCGUUUUGUCAGAAUUUUCCUGCAAUGAAUUAACUUUCACUAAAAAUUAUUCUUCAGUUUUUAAUCAAAGGAGACAAGGUCAUGUGGCGACUACAGACAUGAAAUAUCACAAGUAAAUAAGGAACUCAACAAUUUCACUUUAGAUAGAAUUGUACAAAUACAAAUCAUGCCAAAAUUUAAUCGACGACUGUCACAACCUUUCUGAGGGUGAAUUACUUAAAGGAGGCUAAUGGAUUACUAAGUCCGAAAACUUAGCACGGACCCUCCCAAGUCUUACCAAUCGCGACUUGAUACUAAGAAAUUAACCCAUUUAAACAUGCAAUUACACUCAAUUUGAAGCCGCCACUAACCAAUUAGGGUUGAUUAGAAACCCAAGUAAAAUAUGAGAGAAUACUUUACUUUUGCGAACCAGAAAUUCAAUAAGUCCGGGAACAUGGUUAUGCUAGAUUAAUCUAACACCCUUUUGGUACAUUUUUAUUUUAAUUUCAAAAAUAUUUUGCACGUAGUCUUGAUUAAUUUUAACCUAAACUACUAAAAUAAAAUUCAAUCAACCGAAGUGAUAAAUUGUAAGAAAUUAUAAACUACAACUUCAUUAAGGUCCACUCUCUAAAGAAAAACUUACAACAAUGCUAAUAAAAAUGCAUGCCCUAAACAUAAUUUCUAAUGACAUGACAUCUAAUUUUUCUUUUUCUUUAAAAAAUGUUAAUUAUAUACAAUCUUAAUCUAAAUUUGAUAUGCAUGAGUUUUACUUUAAUGACAUAUGAGAUGCAAUUCAUGCGACAUAAUUUGAAUCGUCACAAUAUGUGUGCAAUCUAAUUUACAUAAUCCUAAAUAUGCAUGCGGUACAUGAUAUGGGAUGGAUGACAUGGUAAUUCUAUAUGCAUGUUCUCUUUAUGAUUUUUUUAAUGAUUCUUUUAAUACAUAUAUGCAACCCACACUAAACGAUGAUGACAUAAAAUGGGAUUAAUUAUGAACUAGCCUAUUAACUAAGCAAGUAAAUGACCUUCGUGUUUUCUUCUUUUUAAAAUGACUUCAUAAUUCUUUAAAAAAAACAACAUAAUGAUGCAAUACUAAUUUUUGGCUUUUUUAUUAUUAAAAAAAACUACACUGCGGGAAUAUUAAAACAUUAACCUAUGACCCACUAACUAAAGCGCAACAUGUGGUGUGCACAUUAUGAAAUCUAUAUAACCUAAAUAACAUUUUUUGUUCUUUUUUGUUUUGAUUUUAUUAAAGGAAAAUUAUCCUAAUUCUAUAUGAAUCUUAAAAAUUAAAAUGCGUUGCUUUAAAUGCGAAAUGUGUAUGGACCUAAAUACCUAAAUCCUAGAUAUGACAUAUGAUGCAUGAUAUUUGAUGAGCGAAUAACGAUAAUGCACCAAAAUAUGUGUCCUAUUGAAAAUCCAUCAAUGUAAAUCAAUGACAUAUUAUGUGAAUCAGUGAUGCAAAACAAUUCAUGAAUUUGCCAUGAAAAGUCGAAAUAAUCAAAAAUCUAACCCGACGUCUCGCAGCUCAAUAUUUUUUAUUAUUAUGACUUAAUAUGACAAAUUUCCUAAUCAGAUAAUGAUAAAAAUAAAUCAGAACAAAUCAAGUUAAAAUAAAAAAACUAUGAAACAGAAUAUUUGAUCUGAAUUUAGCCUAAAGAAAUUACCUAGUCAAGGGCACAUCCUUUUGUUGCUAAAAACAGCACCUGCACAAAGAGAAAAUAGAGAACAGCCCCAAGGAAAAAUCACGUCUCGAUGUGGGGGUGUAAUUUGGCCGAGUGUGAACGAUGGGAGAGAAACAGUAUCGGAUCAGCCACGUCAAACUCACAGCAACAUUGGUUCGUCCAGUAAUAAAAGUGAUAAAAACCGGUCAACGAAACCACCGAGUUGACACAGAAUUGGACGGUAACUCUGGCAACAGGAACCGGCAAAGGAUCUCCGGAAAACAGUGAUGGCGAGCGGCGGAGGUGCAGACACAGCGGAGGGCAGGUGUCGCUGUCGUCGGAGCUCUGGUGAGAGGUAACAAGCCCGAACCAGCAACGGCAAAGCAGCAACCGUCGCUGGUGCAGGAGCAGCAGAGGGCAAGCGGCUCGGUGAGCGGCUGCUACGGGCGUUGCAGGUGAAGCGGGGCGCGGAGGGGGCGUCGCUCGGGCGCGCAGAGGAGCAGCAACGUCGCAGGCAGAGGCGGCGACUUCUGGCGUCGGGCGUAGCAGAGCAGCGGUGGCAGAAACACGGCGUUGGAGUGGGUGUAGGAGCGGCAGCGGCAGCUCGGCGGAGGCGUCGGCACAAGGGUGCGGUGGCGCGGCUGGGUGAGGAGGAGCCGUCGGUCUGCGGGCAGCAAAUUCCGGCGAGUGCAGGGGGAAGAGGAUGAACAGUAAACGUCCAAUCCAAUCCCCUGCCGAUUAAACUUUUGCUUCUGCUUUUUCCCUUUUUUUAAUUUUUACUCUCUCCCUCUCUACCUUCUUUUGACUUUUUCCGCUUUUCCUCUCCCACGAACCGAAGCUCUCUUCUCUUUUUUUUUUUCUCCUUUCACUUUUCACUUUUUUUCGACGAAGAGAAGCCCCCCUCGUUCCGAAGCCUCGCAUCCUUUAUUUGUUUUUGCAAGUGAGAUAUUCACUUAACCACUUAGACAAAAAAAUAGCUCCAAAAUCACACAAUAACAAAUUUCUUGAAUUUUGAAAUGAGGAGAUAUGUUUAACAAGAAAAAUGCUUUAUUAUUCAAUUUCUUUUCAAAAUCUCCCUCCAAAUGUGUUAUUUUAUAUGUUAUUUAUUACCCUUUAUUUUUAUUUUCUAAAAGAUAAGUUUAAUCCUAAAUUAGGUGUCAACAACGACAUAGAGUCAUUUCAAAGGAAUGGAAUGCGGGCAAAUUAUGCUGGAAUUUAAUUAGCGACAAAGCUUGAAAGUGCAAAAAUACUAUGUUGAAAUUUCAUUAAUGAUGCGACACCCAUGAUAAAGAUACAUGCCGGAAUUUAAUCGAUGACGCAAGUUUAGAAACUAAAGGUAUAGUGUAGAAAAGUAAAGAUAAUUGAAAAUUUUGUUUGUUUGUUUAUGAAGGAGAUCUCCAAUAGACGAUUGGUGGAGGUUAAAGUGGUCAUGCCAUAAUUGCUCCUAAGCGGUUCACGGAGGUUGUAUCCAUGUUCCUCCACCUCCAGAAAUUUUGUGCCCAUUCUUCCACAAGGCCAUGACCUCAUUUCCGAAUGGUUGUUCCUUUAAAAACGUGUGCUUAUUGCUUCACGACCUCAGUGGCUUUCUUCUCUAACAACUUCAAACUUGUAAUCAUUUUUUGAUACUUUCUAUGCGUUCAACUCUAUAUUGAUACCUUAACAAUAUACCAAUAUACAUUUGUCGACUAUUUUUAACCAAAUGACAUUGUACAUCAACAUUCGAUCAGCAAUAAUCAUUAAUAUGGACAAAUAUUGAUAUCGAUCCUUGCGAUCGUCAAUAAUGUGUUGCGUGCUUGAUGACAUUCACGCUUUAAUCACAUGUCUAUCCAUAUUGACAACUUGGUCCGUUUUUGGUGCAAACAACUUUCUCAUGAUCCUUCAAACGCGUAAAGAUCACGUGUUGUUUAUGGACUGCAAAAAGUACAUUUGGUUUGGGCAGAUAUUUGAUUUAGGAGUCCCGCACAGUUGCAUCCUUCCAUAGCCUUGAUGGCUGAUAAAAGGUCCCAACACGAACCAAGAUUUGGUUCAGAGCUUGAUCUUUCUUAGCUUUCCAGUCGGAUUAUGCAAUGCCAAUUCUAUUCAAUCUUUCUAUUUCUUUUCGUCGUUCAGAUUCUUACAUUUGAUUGCUUGAAAUACGCAGAUUCAAGUGGAAAAGAUCUCUUGCAAUCUCUUAGGUGUCCCAUACCAGCGUGCAAGAAAGAAAAGCGGGAAAAUUGUCCAAAAAGUUUUAAAUCUAUUACACUUUUAUCAAUUCAGUCAUAACUUUAUUAACUUUGCCAAUUUAAUACUAAACAUUUUCACUUUUUGCCAAUUGAGUCAAUUCGGCUAAUUUUGGCUGGAAAAUGCUAACAUGGACUCUAGCGGGGCCAUGUAGGACUGCCGGCGCUAACGUAGACAGUUUUUAAUAAUAUUUUAAUAUUUUAAAUAUAUUUUUAUAUAUUCCCCUUUUUUUUUUCCUUUCUUUUCUUUUUGGCUUUCUUCUUUGCCUUUUUCGGUGGUCGGCCGGCCAUAGGCGACGGCCGGCCCAUUGGCCUUGCCCAGGCGCGGCCCAGCAAGGGUCACCUGGGCGAGGCCAACCUAUGCCUAGGCCAGGGCGGCCUCGCCUGGCGUCGCCGUCACCCAACCGACGCAUAACAAGGCCGCCUUGGCCUGGGCGAGGGCAAGCCUUGGCAAGGGCUCUCCUAGCCAGAUCUGGUGAGGUCGGCCCUCGCCAAGGUUAGGGCGACCUUGCCCAGUGUCGCCGUCGUUCGGCCGAUGCCCAGCGAGGCCGCCCUAGCUUGGGCACAAGUCAGCCUCGCCUGGCGGCAUCGUCACCCAACCGACACUCAACAAGGCCACCUUGGCCUGGGCGAGGGCUCUCCUAGCCAAAUUUGGUGAGGUCAGCCCUUGCCUAGGUCAGGGUGACCUUGCCCAGUGUCGCCGUCAUUCGGCUGAUGCCUAGCGAGGCCACCCUAGCUUGGGUGCAGGUCGGCCUCGCUUGGCCUGGGUGAGAGUUGGCCUCACCUAAGCGACCCUUGCCCGGCUGCGCUUGGGCAAGGGCUCCCCUCGUCGAGGCUAGCCCUCGCUCGGCCGGGCCUCACUUGUGGUGGGCAAGGCUAGUUGGCUGGAUGUGGCUGGCGGUCGGCCAUUGGAAAAGGUAAAGAAAAAAGUCAAAAAAAAAAAAGAGGGAAAAAAUAAAAAUAAAAAUAAAAAUAUUAUUAAAAUAUUAUCAAAAAUUGUUUAUGUCAGAGCCAACAGUCCUACGUGCACCGUAGUGUCUACGUUAGCAUUUUCUGGCCAAAAUUGGUCGGAUGAACUUAGUUGGCAAGAAAUGAAAAUAUUUAUGACUGAAUUGACAAAAUUAAAAGGCUUAGAAUUGAAUUGGCAAAAAUAAAGUUUAUGACUUUUUGGACAAUUUGCCCUCCUAACCUUAAUGAUCCAAAUUAAGGUUGUCCGGACCUUCCUGUCCCGUAAUUAAUAGCACCUCGACUUUGUUGGCAACCCCCCUUGUCCCAACUAAUCAUUUGGGAUUACGAUGGAAUCUCUCUUAGAGAAAUUGCUUUGCUGUGCAUUAAUCAAGUCAAAGGUGCCACGUCAGGUCAAAUUGUCCGCUAUCCCUAUCCAAAUCUGAGUGUCUUGACUGACGAUGACGUGGCAAAGUCCGAUUCCAGGUGGCGUUUCACCUCCCGCGAUCUCUAUCCAUUCAUCUUAUUGAGAUCGAAAAUGGAAAGUCAAGAUCAGGCAGGCUACACGCAAGCUGGGUUUCCCUACGAAUUUAGUGAUUUCCUCCUCUAUCCGUUCGAUUCUGCAGGUGGGAUUGUAUCAGGACCGGGGUUUGGCUGCAGUAUUUGGAUAUCUUUCUUGAAUGGGAUACGACCCUCAGCUGGUGUUGCCGUCGAAAGGAACCGCUGCUCGGCGUGCGAUGUGUGGCGUUGUGCUAUAAAAAAGGGUCGGUUAGGACUGCGAUUGUUCAAGGAGCUUUCGAAUAUUGCUAGAGAGAGAAAGAGAGAGAGAGCGAGAGAGAGAGAGAGAAGCAGUGAGAGAGAGAGAGUCAUAAGCAGAAGAUUGCGAUGGGCAUGGAGAAGUUGGGCGAUGGUGGUGGUGAGGCUGAGAAGCCUUCUGGGUUCAACAGAUAUGCCUGUGCUUGUGCCGUCGUUGCGUCGAUGAUCUCCAUUAUUUUUGGCUAUGGUCAUCUCUCUCUCUCUCUCUCUUCCCAUUUGGUUUGCCUUGUCGAGAUCUUACUUUCGUUUCGCUGUUCACUUUGAGGAUGAUGAAACGUGCUGUUCUACUUGUUUAACUGGAACGAGAAAUCUUCGUGUGAUAUACAAGCCAUAGCACUCUUUAUUUUGUCGUACUGAUCAUAUCUGUGAAAGCAAGCCUUCGAAUCAUCCAAGGUUUCUUUUUCACAAGAGAUCAUUUGAUUGGAAUAGUCGUUGUCUAGAAAGUUUAUCCAAAUUCAAGAUAUUAUCUUUUGAAUGAUUGUUUAAUAUGUAUCAACACCUCGCACAAAGUCUUUAAUCUUUUAUAUAUGUAGAAAGUCUCUUAUAAUUUAUUGAUAGCAAAUCGGUGUCUUUUUAACUAAAAGAGAUAUUGUUGAUUAAUUUUAUAGUAAAGUUGUGAUGAUGAAUCAUAUCUAAAUGUGUAGUAUGGAAUAACUAUUUUGAUUAUUGUUCCCAAGUGUGUUUGUGCCAAUAGUUACGUUUUCGUAAAAUUAUUUUGUUUGAAUGAUAUUCAUGACAUAAUCAAGUUGCAAUUUCAAUUAUAGAUUUCAUAAGAUUUUUAGUCUUAAUUAAUUUUGAAAAAUCCUAUGAAGGGGAUAUGUCUUGUCUGAAUGCUGGAUUGUGUACGACCGUGCUAUCCUUCGAAUGAACUUUUGUUGUCCUUUUCUUGCACUGAUUUCAACUUUUAAUUUUGUAACUUUACUCCAGACACUGGUGUUAUGAGUGGGGCCAUGAUCUUCAUAAAAGAGGACCUCAAGAUAAACGACACGCAGAUCGAAAUCCUCGCCGGAAUCCUCAACUUUUGUGCCCUUUUUGGCUCUCUCAUCGCCGGAAGAACGUCUGACUACAUCGGUCGCCGUUACACCAUUGUUCUUGCCUCCGUCAUCUUCUUACUCGGUUCAGUCCUGAUGGGCUAUGGGCCGACCUACGCGAUCUUGAUGACCGGGCGGUGCACCGCUGGCGUCGGGGUGGGCUUCGCCCUGAUGAUCGCACCUGUGUACUCUGCAGAAAUCUCCUCCGCCACACACCGAGGAUUCUUAAGCUCUUUGCCGGAGAUAUGCAUAAGCAUAGGGAUCUUGCUCGGCUAUGUAUCGAAUUACUUUUUUGCGAAAUUGACCCUAAAGCUAGGGUGGAGGAUGAUGCUAGGUGUCGCGGCCAUCCCUUCCCUCGCCUUGGCAUUCGGGAUCCUCAAGAUGCCUGAAUCGCCAAGGUGGUUAAUAUUGCAAGGCCGGCUGGCCGAGGCGAAAAGGGUCUUGCUCCAAGUUUGUAAUUCGGAGCAAGAAGCGGAAACCCGAUUCCAUGACAUAAAAAUAGCAGCUGGGAUCGACGCUAAUUGCAAGGAGGAUGUUGUCAAGCUCCCGAAGAAGACUCGCGGCGAAGAUGUAUGGAAGGAGCUCUUGCUGAGGCCCUCACCCUCAGUGCGGUGGAUCUUGUUGGCCGCGGUCGGGAUCCAUUUCUUCGAGCACGCGACAGGGAUCGAAGCAGUCAUCCUCUACAGCCCGCGGAUUUUCAAGAAAGCCGGAGUGACCAGCAAGAAAAAGCUCUUGCUUGCCACGGUUGGCGUCGGCCUUACAAAGGCCACAUUCGUAAUAACAGCCACGUUUUUGCUCGACAGAGUUGGUAGGAGGCGAUUGCUCCAAGUGAGCUCAGUAGGGAUCAUCGUCGCCCUAACCGGAUUAGGGUUUUGCUUGACGGUGGUGGAGCAUGCCAAGAAACAGCUCUUGUGGGCACUCGUCUCGAGCAUCGUCGCCACAUACACAUACGUGGCCUUCUUCUCGAUCGGGAUCGCCCCGGUCACCUGGGUCUAUAGCUCCGAGAUAUUCCCGCUGAAGCUGAGGGCUCAGGGGAUGGGCAUCGGGGUCGCAGUGAACCGGCUCAUGAACGCGAUCGUUUCGACGACUUUCCUCUCGAUGUCGGAGGCCAUGACCAUCGGCGGGACCUUCUUCAUGUUUGCUGGCAUGGCCGUGCUGGCUCUGGGAUUUUUCUAUUUCUUAUUGCCCGAGACGAAAGGCAAGCCCUUGGAGGAGAUUGAGAUGCUCUUCACCAGGAAGAACAGUAAGGCCAGGAACAGAGGGAUAGAGAUCCAGCC
This 9490-nucleotide long non-coding RNA is filed under the name Eucalyptus grandis. Its description in RNAcentral is "long non-coding RNA (EGRA_LNC004662)". The record is from RNAcentral. Lineage: Eukaryota; Viridiplantae; Streptophyta; Magnoliopsida; Myrtales; Myrtaceae.